Molecule: ribosomal RNA, 645 nt
Filed under: Salmonella enterica
Lineage: Bacteria; Pseudomonadati; Pseudomonadota; Gammaproteobacteria; Enterobacterales; Enterobacteriaceae
Description: partial 23S ribosomal RNA
Rfam family: Bacterial large subunit ribosomal RNA
Source: RNAcentral
GAACCUGAAACCGUGUACGUACAAGCAGUGGGAGCACAGGUUUACCUGUGUGACUGCGUACCUUUUGUAUAAUGGGUCAGCGACUUAUAUUCUGUAGCAAGGUUAACCGUAUAGGGGAGCCGGAGGGAAACCGAGUCUUAACCGGGCGUUAAGUUGCAGGGUAUAGACCCGAAACCCGGUGAUCUAGCCAUGGGCAGGUUGAAGGUUGGGUAACACUAACUGGAGGACCGAACCGACUAAUGUUGAAAAAUUAGCGGAUGACCUGUGGCUGGGGGUGAAAGGCCAAUCAAACCGGGAGAUAGCUGGUUCUCCCCGAAAGCUAUUUAGGUAGCGCCUCGUGAAUUCAUCUCCGGGGGUAGAGCACUGUUUCGGCUAGGGGGCCAUCCCGGCUUACCAACCCGAUGCAAACUGCGAAUACCGGAGAAUGUUAUCACGGGAGACACACGGCGGGUGCUAACGUCCGUCGUGAAGAGGGAAACAACCCAGACCGCCAGCUAAGGUCCCAAAGUCAUGGUUAAGUGGGAAACGAUGUGGGAAGGCCCAGACAGCCAGGAUGUUGGCUUAGAAGCAGCCAUCAUUUAAAGAAAGCGUAAUAGCUCACUGGUCGAGUCGGCCUGCGCGGAAGAUGUAACGGGGCUAAACCAU